UUUUUUUUUACCAAGAUCUGACAGCCGUUGUGGAAAGUUACGUUCGUGAGAUUGGAUGCUUAACAAUGAGAAUCUUAAUUGUUUAAGUAUAUUUACCAGCGGCUGUUGGGUGUAGCUUAAGAUGAUUAGAAUUUUUUAUUAUUUCUAAAAGUGAGUUAAAAAAGCACUCAGAUACAAUAUUGCAGGUAUUUAUAUUUUAACUCUACCUUUGUAUAAGUG
Molecule: non-coding RNA, 219 nt
Organism: Pelobates cultripes (western spadefoot toad)
Lineage: Eukaryota; Metazoa; Chordata; Amphibia; Anura; Pelobatidae
Source: the annotation of a GenBank genome assembly